This 2900-nucleotide ribosomal RNA is filed under the name Klebsiella pneumoniae. RNAcentral describes it as "bacterial LSU rRNA". It matches the Rfam family "Bacterial large subunit ribosomal RNA". The record is from RNAcentral. Lineage: Bacteria; Pseudomonadati; Pseudomonadota; Gammaproteobacteria; Enterobacterales; Enterobacteriaceae.
UUAAGCGACUAAGCGUACACGGUGGAUGCCCUGGCAGUCAGAGGCGAUGAAGGACGUGCUAAUCUGCGAAAAGCGUCGGUAAGGUGAUAUGAACCGUUAUAACCGGCGAUGUCCGAAUGGGGAAACCCAGUGCAAUUCGUUGCACUAUCGUUAACUGAAUACAUAGGUUAACGAGGCGAACCGGGGGAACUGAAACAUCUAAGUACCCCGAGGAAAAGAAAUCAACCGAGAUUCCCCCAGUAGCGGCGAGCGAACGGGGAGCAGCCCAGAGUCUGAAUCAGCUUGUGUGUUAGUGGAACGGUCUGGAAAGUCCGACGGUACAGGGUGAUAGUCCCGUACACCAAAAUGCACAGGCUGUGAACUCGAAGAGUAGGGCGGGACACGUGGUAUCCUGUCUGAAUAUGGGGGGACCAUCCUCCAAGGCUAAAUACUCCUGACUGACCGAUAGUGAACCAGUACCGUGAGGGAAAGGCGAAAAGAACCCCGGCGAGGGGAGUGAAAAAGAACCUGAAACCGUGUACGUACAAGCAGUGGGAGCACCUUCGGGUGUGACUGCGUACCUUUUGUAUAAUGGGUCAGCGACUUAUAUUCUGUAGCAAGGUUAACCGUAUAGGGGAGCCGCAGGGAAACCGAGUCUUAACUGGGCGUUAAGUUGCAGGGUAUAGACCCGAAACCCGGUGAUCUAGCCAUGGGCAGGUUGAAGGUUGGGUAACACUAACUGGAGGACCGAACCGACUAAUGUUGAAAAAUUAGCGGAUGACUUGUGGCUGGGGGUGAAAGGCCAAUCAAACCGGGAGAUAGCUGGUUCUCCCCGAAAGCUAUUUAGGUAGCGCCUCGUGAACUCAUCUUCGGGGGUAGAGCACUGUUUCGGCUAGGGGGUCAUCCCGACUUACCAACCCGAUGCAAACUACGAAUACCGAAGAAUGUUAUCACGGGAGACACACGGCGGGUGCUAACGUCCGUCGUGAAGAGGGAAACAACCCAGACCGCCAGCUAAGGUCCCAAAGUCAUGGUUAAGUGGGAAACGAUGUGGGAAGGCACAGACAGCCAGGAUGUUGGCUUAGAAGCAGCCAUCAUUUAAAGAAAGCGUAAUAGCUCACUGGUCGAGUCGGCCUGCGCGGAAGAUGUAACGGGGCUAAACCAUGCACCGAAGCUGCGGCAGCGACACUAUGUGUUGUUGGGUAGGGGAGCGUUCUGUAAGCCUGCGAAGGUGACCUGUGAGGGUUGCUGGAGGUAUCAGAAGUGCGAAUGCUGACAUAAGUAACGAUAAAGCGGGUGAAAAGCCCGCUCGCCGGAAGACCAAGGGUUCCUGUCCAACGUUAAUCGGGGCAGGGUGAGUCGACCCCUAAGGCGAGGCCGAAAGGCGUAGUCGAUGGGAAACAGGUUAAUAUUCCUGUACUUGGUGUUACUGCGAAGGGGGGACGGAGAAGGCUAUGUUAGCCGGGCGACGGUUGUCCCGGUUUAAGCAUGUAGGCUGAUUAUCCAGGCAAAUCCGGAUAAUCAAGGCUGAGGUGUGAUGACGAGGCACUACGGUGCUGAAGUAACAAAUGCCCUGCUUCCAGGAAAAGCCUCUAAGCAUCAGGUAACAUCAAAUCGUACCCCAAACCGACACAGGUGGUCAGGUAGAGAAUACCAAGGCGCUUGAGAGAACUCGGGUGAAGGAACUAGGCAAAAUGGUGCCGUAACUUCGGGAGAAGGCACGCUGGUGUGUAGGUGAAGUCCCUGCGGAUGGAGCUGAGACCAGUCGAAGAUACCAGCUGGCUGCAACUGUUUAUUAAAAACACAGCACUGUGCAAACACGAAAGUGGACGUAUACGGUGUGACGCCUGCCCGGUGCCGGAAGGUUAAUUGAUGGGGUUAUCCGUAAGGAGAAGCUCUUGAUCGAAGCCCCGGUAAACGGCGGCCGUAACUAUAACGGUCCUAAGGUAGCGAAAUUCCUUGUCGGGUAAGUUCCGACCUGCACGAAUGGCGUAAUGAUGGCCAGGCUGUCUCCACCCGAGACUCAGUGAAAUUGAACUCGCUGUGAAGAUGCAGUGUACCCGCGGCAAGACGGAAAGACCCCGUGAACCUUUACUAUAGCUUGACACUGAACAUUGAGCCUUGAUGUGUAGGAUAGGUGGGAGGCUUUGAAGCGUGGACGCCAGUCUGCGUGGAGCCAACCUUGAAAUACCACCCUUUAAUGUUUGAUGUUCUAACGUUGGCCCCUGACCGGGGUUGCGGACAGUGUCUGGUGGGUAGUUUGACUGGGGCGGUCUCCUCCUAAAGCGUAACGGAGGAGCACGAAGGUUAGCUAAUCCUGGUCGGACAUCAGGAGGUUAGUGCAAUGGCAUAAGCUAGCUUGACUGCGAGCGUGACGGCGCGAGCAGGUGCGAAAGCAGGUCAUAGUGAUCCGGUGGUUCUGAAUGGAAGGGCCAUCGCUCAACGGAUAAAAGGUACUCCGGGGAUAACAGGCUGAUACCGCCCAAGAGUUCAUAUCGACGGCGGUGUUUGGCACCUCGAUGUCGGCUCAUCACAUCCUGGGGCUGAAGUAGGUCCCAAGGGUAUGGCUGUUCGCCAUUUAAAGUGGUACGCGAGCUGGGUUUAGAACGUCGUGAGACAGUUCGGUCCCUAUCUGCCGUGGGCGCUGGAGAAUUGAGGGGGGCUGCUCCUAGUACGAGAGGACCGGAGUGGACGCAUCACUGGUGUUCGGGUUGUCAUGCCAAUGGCACUGCCCGGUAGCUAAAUGCGGAAGAGAUAAGUGCUGAAAGCAUCUAAGCACGAAACUUGCCCCGAGAUGAGUUCUCCCUGAGACUUUAAGUCUCCUGAAGGAACGUUGAAGACGACGACGUUGAUAGGCCGGGUGUGUAAGCGCAGCGAUGCGUUGAGCUAACCGGUACUAAUGAACCGUGAGGCUUAACCUU